This 83-nucleotide ribosomal RNA is filed under the name uncultured bacterium. RNAcentral describes it as "partial 16S ribosomal RNA". The record is from RNAcentral.
CUGAUCAGCCAUGCCGCGUGAGUGAUGACGGCCUUCGGGUUGUAAAGCUCUUUUUUCCGGGAAGAAAACGUCCGGACCCGUAG